UUUUAUAGCACUAGCAUCAUGAAGCAAUCUAUGGCACUUCUUCUGACCAUCCUAGGAGUCAUUGUACUGGCACAAUCCAAAAGCAUUCUGGUGGAGAGCGAAGACGUAUUACUGGGAGGAGCAGAGGAAUUGGAAGCUGAUAAUAGCGUUGAUCUGGAGGAGGAGCUCAUAGGAUCAGACAUUAAGCUCGCCCCAGGCGGCGGUAAUCCAUGGGGUCGCAAAUGAAAGAACGGUUCCUCCACACCACCUCUCUAUCCUCCUCCAGUCCUUCAACUAUCUCACUACAUCUCUGCUCUUUAUGUAGUUUUUCUUAGUUCUUUAGACGUACUCAGAUAAAUGUCAUCCUGAUAGGUUAUGAACAAAAUCUCUCAAGAAAAUGUGAAAACGAUGAAAAAAACUGAAAUUAUCAUCCUCUGAUCUCUUGCUAUGAAAUAGCUAACAAGUUUUUAUCUUUUUUAGCGCCACGUGUUAUUUUAACAAAUAGUUAUUUUAUCGUAGUAAUGCCAUGGUAACGUGACGUAGUUUUUAAAGAGAAAAAAAGCAUCCAAUGUAUAUUUGUUGAACAUUGUGCAAAAGCUCUUUCAAGGGGUUGUUGAAAAGUUCCUCAUAUAUAUAAUGCGAUUGUGCAUGUGAUAAUUUUUUGCCCAAAAUUUGUCUGUCUGGAACAGAAUGUGUGUUAUUUGUGGGCAUUGAUUUUAAUGGUUUUAUCCACUUCUCAUAUGCGCUCAUGUUUCAACCGAGGUUUUAGUUUUCCUAAUAUUAUGAUUAUUUCAUGAUUUUCUAAUAUCAUAACCAUAGUUGAUUCGUAGAAACAUUUUUCUUUCAGCACCAUCUUUAAAAAGCAUACGAAGUUUCGUUAAGUUUGCUUAAUUUUCUUAGUCGGUGUAUAGUUUUAGUUUGAAAAAGUUGAUUUUUGGCUAAAAAUUUGAAAACAGUUUAAUCAGUCAACUAUUUGCUAUAACUUGUCAUAUUGAAA
This is a long non-coding RNA of Bolinopsis microptera, 976 nucleotides long. RefSeq lists it as uncharacterized. The record is from RefSeq and is a predicted model, not a curated record. The transcript has 3 exons. Lineage: Eukaryota; Metazoa; Ctenophora; Tentaculata; Lobata; Bolinopsidae.